This 106-nucleotide transfer RNA is filed under the name Pleodorina starrii. Its description in RNAcentral is "tRNA-Leu". It matches the Rfam family "tRNA". Rfam says of the family: Transfer RNA (tRNA) molecules are approximately 80 nucleotides in length. Their secondary structure includes four short double-helical elements and three loops (D, anti-codon, and T loops). Further hydrogen bonds mediate the characteristic L-shaped molecular structure. tRNAs have two regions of fundamental functional importance: the anti-codon, which is responsible for specific mRNA codon recognition, and the 3' end, to which the tRNAs corresponding amino acid is attached (by aminoacyl-tRNA synthetases). tRNAs cope with the degeneracy of the genetic code in two manners: having more than one tRNA (with a specific anti-codon) for a particular amino acid; and 'wobble' base-pairing, i.e. permitting non-standard base-pairing at the 3rd anti-codon position. Lineage: Eukaryota; Viridiplantae; Chlorophyta; Chlorophyceae; Chlamydomonadales; Volvocaceae. The record is from RNAcentral.
GACGAGGUGGCCGAGCGGUCUAAGGCGCUAGAUUCAGGGCUACCUGAGGUUACUCAGGAGAAGCUUCUAGUCCGAAAGGGCGUGGGUUCAAAUCCCAUCCUCGUCA